CCCAGGGAAUACAGUACGAGUUGGCCCUCCAACAGAUCUGUUACAGAUUCAUUCCAAGCAGAGAGAGAGAGCGAGAAAGAGAGAGACACACAGACGGAAGCGAGAGAGUGAAGCGAGAGAGUGAAGCGAGAGAGAGUGAGGCGAGUGAGUGAGAGAGAAGCAAGAGAGAGAGAGAGAGAGAGAGAGAGCAGGGGAGCACAAAAGAGAGAGGAACCAAGCUCUGAACUGACCCCAGACCUGCAAAUAUGGAUGUAUCAUCACUGACCACGGGCCAAAAGCAACAGAAACCAGAGAAGAGGCGAUUCUUCAAGAAAACAAAUAGAGAAACAAAUACUGGAUUAUCCGGCUGUGAAGGAAGGCUACUGAUUCGCCCACAGAGAGCUUCGUCGGGAGUUCACCAAAUUCCCACCGGAUGACAGACGGAACACGCAUGCACAGCCAGGGAAAAGUUGCCCCUUGAUGACAUGGCAGAGUGUUACUCUAACGUCCUUGCCUGUUCAUGUAUGGUUUUACGGUUAGCCCUUAGCCUGUACAUGUAUGGUUUUACGGUUAGCCCUUAGCCUGUACAUGUAUGGUUUUACGGUUAGCCCUUAGCCUGUACAUGUAUUGUUUUACGGUUAGCCCUUAGCCUGUUCAUGUAUGGUUUUACGGUUAGCCCUUAGCCUGUACAUGUAUGGUUUUACGGUUAGCCCUUAGCCUGUUCAUGUAUGGUUUUACGGUUAGCCCUUAGCCUGUACAUGUAUGGUUUUACGGUUAGCCCUUAGCCUGUACAUGUAUGGUUUUACAGUUAGCCCUUAGCCUGUACAUGUAUGGUUUUACGGUUAGCCCUUAGCCUGUUCAUGUAUGGUUUUACGGUUAGCCUUUAGCCUGUUCAUGUAGGGUUUUACGGUUAGCCCUUAGCCUGUUCAUGUAUGGUUUUACGGUUAGCCCUUAGCCUGUUCAUGUAUGGUUUUACAGUUAGCCCUUAGCCUGUUCAUGUAUGGUUUUACGGUCAGCCCUUAGCCUGUACAUGUAUGGUUUUACGGUUAGCCCUUAGCCUGUACAUGUAUGGUUUUACGGUUAGCCCUUAGCCUGUACAUGUAUGGUUUUACAGUUAGCCCUUAGCCUGUUCAUGUAUGGUUUUACAGUUAGCCCUUAGCCUGUACAUGUAUGGUUUUACGGUUAGCCCUUAGCCUGUUCAUGUAUGGUUUUACGGUUAGCCUUUAGCCUGUUCAUGUAGGGUUUUACGGUUAGCCCUUAGCCUGUUCAUGUAUGGUUUUACGGUUAGCCCUUAGCCUGUUCAUGUAUGGUUUUACAGUUAGCCCUUAGCCUGUACAUGUAUGGUUUUACGGUUAGCCCUUAGCCUGUACAUGUAUGGUUUUACGGUUAGCCCUUAGCCUGUACAUGUAUGGUUUUACAGUUAGCCCUUAGCCUGUUCAUGUAUGGUUUUACAGUUAGCCCUUAGCCUGUUCAUGUAUGGUUUUACGGUUAGCCCUUAGCCUGUUCAUGUAUGGUUUUACGGUUAGCCCUUAGCCUGUUCAUGUAUGGUUUUACAGUUAGCCCUUAGCCUGUACAUGUGGCCAUCAUCCAGUCAACUUUACCCAUUGAUGCUGUUAGUAAUUACAGUCUUUAAACUGCAGCAUCCUGCCCACCUUUGGACCAACCAACCAACACACCUACCAACCUAAGUCUCCAGUGGCUACCUCCGUCUCAUUAGCUUCCCCUCAUCCCUUCAUCUGCCUCAAGACAUCUGCCUCAAUACCACUGGCCGUGUUUCCAGGAGAUUGCCAUUCCCCCUGUCUGUAUUGAUUGUACACAUUGUACUGUAUGUGACUAUAGCUGGGUACAAGUUGUCAGAGAGCGAGUUUAAGGGAAAUAAACAGUGUUCAGGUGGUAU
Molecule: long non-coding RNA, 1876 nt
Organism: Oncorhynchus kisutch (coho salmon)
Lineage: Eukaryota; Metazoa; Chordata; Actinopteri; Salmoniformes; Salmonidae
Exons: 2
Source: RefSeq, a predicted model, not a curated record